GUGCGUCUUCAGGGCGGGGCGAAAUUCCCCACCGGCGGUAUGUGCGCUUGGCCGAAAGGUCAUCCACGAGCCCGCGAGCGCCUGCCAGCAGCAUCGGCGGGGUCAGCAGAUCUGGUGCGAAGCCAGAGCCGACGGUCAUAGUCCGGAUGGAAGAAGAUGUGC
RNAcentral lists this non-coding RNA (162 nucleotides) under Burkholderia humi (ex Srinivasan et al. 2013). RNAcentral's name for it is "Burkholderia humi FMN sequence". It matches the Rfam family "FMN riboswitch aptamer (RFN element)". From Rfam's summary of the family: The RFN element is a highly conserved domain that is found frequently in the 5'-untranslated regions of prokaryotic mRNAs that encode for flavin mononucleotide (FMN) biosynthesis and transport proteins. Lineage: Bacteria; Pseudomonadati; Pseudomonadota; Betaproteobacteria; Burkholderiales; Burkholderiaceae. The record is from RNAcentral.